Molecule: ribosomal RNA, 463 nt
Filed under: uncultured bacterium
Lineage: Bacteria
Description: partial 16S ribosomal RNA
Rfam family: Bacterial small subunit ribosomal RNA
Source: RNAcentral
GAUGAACGCUGACAGAAUGCUUAACACAUGCAAGUCUUUGGCGAAGCUGUGCUUGCACAGCCUAGCCAAGGCGGACGGGUGAGUAACGCGUAAGGAACUUGCCCUGCAGUCAGGGAUAACAGACGGAAACGACUGAUAAGACCUGGUAAAGUCAGGCGGACUCAUGUCCAGCCUGAUGAAAAGAGAUGCUGCAGGAGAGCCUUGCGUCCUAUUAGCUUGUUGGUGGGGUAACGGCCCACCAAGGCGAUGAUAGGUAGCCGGCCUGAGAGGGUGGACGGCCACAAGGGGACUGAGAUGCGGCCCUUACGCCUACGGGAGGCAGCAGUGGGGAAUAUUGGACAAUGGGGGCAACCCUGAUCCAGCAAUUCUGUGUGCACGAUGAAGGUUUUCGGAUUGUAAAGUGCUUUCAGCAGGGAAGAAAAAAAUGACGGUACCUGCAGAAGAAGCGACGGCUAAAUACGUG